UAAACUUCGGCUGUAUCCGCCCAUUAAAAUAGUCAACGUCAUCGGUUCGGUGAAUACCAGCAGCCUCAACUCGUCCUUGUUUACCAUGGAAGGCUCAAAGCUGAAGCCUUUAAAAGACCAUGGGCCAACAUUGGUCAAGUACCCAGGAAUCACGUAAGAGAUGUCUUCCCAGAGAUUCCAGCUCCUUCCUCUCACCAGCCAAGCACCAAGCACCCUGUGUCUUGGGUUUCCAGGCAGAUCCUUGUUUGAGUUUUGUAGGAAAUGCCCGAGGGGCUGUGCACACUGACGCACAUGUUUAGAGACCACUUCUGACAAGAGCAAAGCUAUAAUUUUCUACUGAAAUAAAUGUUUUUUCCAACAGAGCCACCUUAAGACUUGGGGGUUGGGAUCGAAGACAAUGUGAAAGGCUGAAAAUGGCAUCACUUUGAGAGUUGGGGAGCAACAUUGCAUUUAAUCACCCUAUCUAGUGUGAGGUAGGAGAAGGGUAACUGUGUACCAUACACGGAGGUCAUGGCUUCUACCUAAGUUUGAGUGCACAGGAGCCACACCACCUCCAGUACACACUCUGGGGCUACAAUACCCAGAAAGACAGCCUCUUUCAUCAUGGAAAACAUUUGCUUCUGUAACAAAAACCAAGAGCUGGGCAGGAUGCUGAUUGGGGUAGGUUUUGUUUUUAAUUUGUUUGGUUUUUUGUUUUUAAUUUUUCAAGUCAGGGUCUCUCUGUGUCAUUCUGUCUAUCCUGGAACUUGCUCCAUAGACUAGGCUGGCCUCAAACUCAGAGACCCACUGGCCUUUGCCUCUAAGUGCUGGGAUUAAGGGUGUGUGCCACCACCACCUAGCAUGGGCGGUUUUCUUCUACACGUUUCUCAAAGGGGAAAAGUUUAGUUCCCAGGCAAUGCGGGAACUGUAGAGCCUAUCUUCCGGCCUUCUUCCAAAGCAUCAAGGCGCUUACGAGCAGUAGUCACACUAACCUGACUCACUCUCUCUUUUCCUGUGAGCAAAUCCUUUCAGUCCCAUGGCUGAGAGUCCUCUCAACAGGCCACCCAGGUCCUCUACUACAGGAUUCACCCAAGCUCCCUUUGAGCUCAAAACAGACAAAAACUGCA
This 1106-nucleotide long non-coding RNA is filed under the name Rattus norvegicus (Norway rat). RNAcentral describes it as "long non-coding RNA NONRATT029313". Lineage: Eukaryota; Metazoa; Chordata; Mammalia; Rodentia; Muridae. The record is from RNAcentral.